This 369-nucleotide ribosomal RNA is filed under the name uncultured eukaryote. RNAcentral's name for it is "partial 18S ribosomal RNA". It matches the Rfam family "Eukaryotic small subunit ribosomal RNA", at positions 592 to 976 of the family's 1831-position model. The record is from RNAcentral.
UAAUAGCGUAUAUUAAAGUUGUUGCAGUUAAAAAGCUCGUAGUCGGAUGUCGGGCUCGGGCAGGCUGUCGGCUUCGGUCGGACGGCAGGCUCGGGUCUUUCUGCCUGAGGAUCCAUCUCAUUCACUUGGGGUGGGGACGCAGGCCGUUUACUUUGAAAAAAUUAGAGUGUUCAAAGCAGGCCUACGCUUGAAUACAUUAGCAUGGAAUAAUGGAAUAGGACUUUGGUGCUAUUUUGUUGGUUUAUGGGACCGAAGUAAUGAUUAACAGGGACAGUUGGGGCCGUUUAUAUUUCGUUGUCAGAGGUGAAAUUCUUGGAUUUACGGAAGAUAAACUACUGCGAAANCANNNGGCAAGGAUGUUUUCGUNAA